This 444-nucleotide ribosomal RNA is filed under the name Triticum aestivum (bread wheat). RNAcentral describes it as "partial small subunit ribosomal RNA". Lineage: Eukaryota; Viridiplantae; Streptophyta; Magnoliopsida; Poales; Poaceae. The record is from RNAcentral.
AUGUCGCCGCGGUCGUCGCCAGGGACCCGCAGCUCCUCCGCCAGAGUGGAGUACUUGAGGAACACGUUCAGGUGGACGGAUGCUGAGGUGGCCAUUGCCGUUUCUAAGGCUCCAGCUGUGCUGACGAGGGCUAAGGAAUCGCUGCAGCGCAGAUCCCAGUUCCUCAUCUCCGAGCUGGGGUUGGAACCGGCAUACAUUGCUUAUCGUCCGGCAAUGCUCAUGUACUGCUUGGAGGGCCGGAUCAGACCCCGGCACGUUGUAAAGUUUCUCAAGGAAAAUGGAUUGCUCAAUUGUGACCCGAGCUACUAUACUGUUUUCACGGUGUCCGAGAAGACGUUCAGGAAGAAGUUCAUACACCCUCAUAAGGAAGCUGCACCGUACCUGGAAAAAGACUAUGAUGCUGCUUGAAAGGGGGAAGAGCCCACUAAUUUCAGAUUCACAUAA